This 532-nucleotide ribosomal RNA is filed under the name uncultured fungus. Its description in RNAcentral is "SSU rRNA". It matches the Rfam family "Eukaryotic small subunit ribosomal RNA", at positions 300 to 837 of the family's 1831-position model. Lineage: Eukaryota; Fungi. The record is from RNAcentral.
CAAAUUUCUGCCCUAUCAACUUUCGAUGGUAGAGUAGUGGUCUACCAUGGUUUCAACGGGUAACGGGGAAUUAGGGUUCUAUUCCGGAGAGGGAGCCUGAGAAACGGCUACCACAUCCAAGGAAGGCAGCAGGCGCGCAAAUUACCCAAUCCCGACACGGGGAGGUAGUGACAAUAAAUACUGAUACAGGGCUCUUUUGGGUCUUGGUAAUUGGAAUGAGUACAAUUUAAAUCCCUUAACGAGGAACAAUUGGAGGGCAAGUCUGGUGCCAGCAGCCGCGGUAAUUCCAGCUCCAAUAGCGUAUAUUAAAGUUGUUGCAGUUAAAAAGCUCGUAGUUGAACCUUGGGCCUGGCUGGCCGGUCCGCCUCACCGCGUGCACUGGUCCGGCCGGGCCUUUCCUUCUGGGGAGCCGCAUGCCCUUCACUGGGUGUGUCGGGGAACCAGGACUUUUACUUUGAAAAAAUUAGAGUGUUUAAAGCGGGCGUAAGCUUGUAUACAUUAGCAUGGAAUAAUAGAAUAGGACUUUGGUUUC